RNAcentral lists this long non-coding RNA (1348 nucleotides) under Parus major (Great Tit). RNAcentral describes it as "lncRNA (ENSPMJG00000019406.1)". The record is from RNAcentral. Lineage: Eukaryota; Metazoa; Chordata; Aves; Passeriformes; Paridae.
AUGCUCCCAGCCAGGGUGUCCCCAAAGGAGUUGCCCCACAGAAGAAUUACACCCACUGUGAAAGAGUUCGAGGGCAGCGGGAUGCUGGUCCAUGUGCCUGCUCACAAGCACGAAUCCGCAGAUCACGCUGGACCAUUACUGCACAAAAGCCUGCAGGAAAGAGGUUGCCGUGUUGCAAACACGAGAUGUACAGCCCUGGACAUUCAGGAAAACGUCUACUGCAUUAAUCUCCCGUUCAGUGCAAGAAACUUAGUCUGGUCUGCAUGUGUAGAGGGAUGGGAGCACAGACAGGUCUGUGUGUGGGGUAUUUGCACCUUGGAGCCAUCGCUCUGCCCAAGUACACGGUAAUUUAGGAUGAGAAGUCGCAGGCAGGGCCGGAGGCAGGGCUGCCCUUGGCGGGGGCUGCCCAGGGGCUGAGCCGUGCCCCCGGCGCCGGGCACAUGAGCUCGCCUCUGCUGCCCCCCGCAGCCCGGCCGCCGGAACUGUGCCCGCCCCGGCGCGGGCUCCAGAUUAACCUGCCUCAUCGGCGGCUCUUCACCCCGCUCACUCAAAUCAUGCCUGCCGGCAAUGGAGCUUUUAGUACUUUGCGGAUGGCGAGAAAGUGUUACACCAAUCCGAGACUGAAGGAAGCCCCGAUUCCCCGGCAAAAUCAAACCCCAUGAGAGAGUGGCUCUGCCCACUUACACAGCUUGAAAGUUCACCCACAGCCUGUCCUCAUUUUACCAGGUUUUCUGUACCAGAUCUGCUCAUUACCAUCUCGUAUUUUUUUUCUUUUCUUUUUUACCCCUCUCUUUUUGUUUCUUUCAGGCUUGUAUCAAACAUUAAGCGACUCUAGGGUGUGGCAUAAUCCUUGUGAUCUUCGCACAGGUCAUUGAGGAUUUUUUGUAUGAUUAUAUGCCUGGGCGAAGUCUGUUUCUUGAAAUCUUUUGGCUAUAUAGAGGAGCACAGUGUUUCCUUACAAAUAACCUCAAAUGAAACCUGUGUUUAACAUCAGCCAUUUUGAGUGCUUCAGUGUAGCCUUUCAGAGACACAAAAUACUUUGUCUGGGGACCGCAGAAUCACUGAAUCAUAGGAUGUUAAGGGGUUGGAAAGGAUCUUGAAGAUCAUCUAGUCCCUACCCUACUCUCCCUCCCUCACUCCAGGGGCUGGAACAUGUCCCAUUAGACCAGGUUGCUCAAGGUCUUAUCCAACCUGGCCUUGAAUACUGCCAGGGGUGGUGUCAGCAAAACUGAGCGUCCACAUCUUCUCUGGGUAACCUGUUCCAGUGUCUCAUAACCCAUGCAGUAAAGAAUUUCUUCCUUAGAUAAACUGGUGUUGUUAGGUCCAUCCCAAAGGGGAGCAUCACAGA